GAUGAACGCUGGCGGCGUGCCUAAUACAUGCAAGUCGAGCGAACGGACGAGAAGCUUGCUUUUCUGAUGUUAGCGGCGGACGGGUGAGUAACACGUGGAUAACCUACCUAUAAGACUGGGAUAACUUCGGGAAACCGGAGCUAAUACCGGAUAAUAUUUUGAACCGCAUGGUUCAAAAGUGAAAGACGGUCUUGCUGUCACUUAUAGAUGGAUCCGCGCUGCAUUAGCUAGUUGGUAAGGUAACGGCUUACCAAGGCAACGAUGCAUAGCCGACCUGAGAGGGUGAUCGGCCACACUGGAACUGAGACACGGUCCAGACUCCUACGGGAGGCAGCAGUAGGGAAUCUUCCGCAAUGGGCGAAAGCCUGACGGAGCAACGCCGCGUGAGUGAUGAAGGUCUUCGGAUCGUAAAACUCUGUUAUUAGGGAAGAACAUAUGUGUAGGUAAAUGUGCACAUCUUGACGGUACCUAAUCAGAAAGCCACGGCUAACUACGUG
RNAcentral lists this ribosomal RNA (497 nucleotides) under uncultured bacterium. RNAcentral's name for it is "partial 16S ribosomal RNA". It matches the Rfam family "Bacterial small subunit ribosomal RNA", at positions 28 to 507 of the family's 1533-position model. The record is from RNAcentral.